GACGAACGCUGGCGGCGUGCCUAAUACAUGCAAGUCGAACGCAGUGGGGACGGGUGAGUAACACGUGGGUAACCUCCCAUCAGAGGGGAUAACACUUGGAAACAGGUGCUAAACCGACACUGAUGGAUGGACCCGCGGUGCAUUAGCUAGUUGGUGAGGUAACGGCUCACCAAGGCCACGAUGCAUAGACGGUCUGAGAGGGUGAUCAGCCACACUGGGACGGAGACACGGCCCAGACGCCGACGGGAGGCAGCAGUGGGGAAUCUUCGGCAAUGGGCGAAAGUCUGACCCAGCAACGCCGCGUGAGUGAAGAAGGUUUUCGGAUCGUAAACCUCUGUUGUUAGGGUAGCGGUAUCUAACCAGAAAGCCACGGCUAACUACGUGCCAGCAGCCGCGGUAAUAC
Molecule: ribosomal RNA, 403 nt
Filed under: uncultured bacterium
Lineage: Bacteria
Description: partial 16S ribosomal RNA
Rfam family: Bacterial small subunit ribosomal RNA
Source: RNAcentral